RNAcentral lists this ribosomal RNA (471 nucleotides) under uncultured Gammaproteobacteria bacterium. Its description in RNAcentral is "bacterial SSU rRNA". It matches the Rfam family "Bacterial small subunit ribosomal RNA", at positions 247 to 718 of the family's 1533-position model. The record is from RNAcentral. Lineage: Bacteria; Pseudomonadati; Pseudomonadota; Gammaproteobacteria.
AGUUGGUGAGGUAAAGGCUCACCAAGGCGACGAUCGGUAACUGGUCUGAGAGGAGACCAGUCACACUGGGACUGAGACACGGCCCAGACUCCUACGGGAGGCAGCAGUAGGGAUCUUGGACAAUGGGGGAAACCCUGAUCCAGCGAUGCCGCGUGUGUGAAGAAGGCCUGCGGUUGUAAAGCACUUUAAGUGGGGAAGAAAGGCGCAUGGCUAAUACCUAUGCGUGUUGACUUACCCACAGAAUAAGCACCGGCUAACUCUGUGCCAGCAGCCGCGGUAAUACAGAGGGUCAAGCGUUAAUCGGAAUUACUGGGCGUAAAGCGUGCGUAGGCGGUUAAUUAAGUCUGAUUGAAAUCCCCGAGCUUAACUUGGGAACUGCAUCAGAUACUGGUUAGCUAGAGUAGAAAAAGGAAGGCGGAAUUCCAGGUGUAGCGGUGAAAUGCGUAGAGAUCUGGAGGAACACCGGUGCGA